AGGACGGCUCAUAAUGUCAGGAGUGGAAGGGUUGUAAAACCACAGGAGGCUGUUGGGGAGGACGGCUCAUAAUGUCAGGAGUGGAAGGGUUGUAAAACAGAAGGGAACUAUGUGUUUGAUACCAGUCACUUCACCACAUUCCUCCCAUCACUAUGAGCCCUUCCUCCCCAAUUAAUAAGGUGCCCCCAGUCGCAUGUGGUGUGGUACAAAAUACUAUAUGUACCGUGUUAGUGGUGUUAUAUAAAUACUAUAUGUACCGUGGCUGUGUAAUUAGUGAAUCAUUUGGAUAUACUGUAUGUAGUAGAAAAUACUAAUAGUACCGUGUUAGUGGUGAUAUAUAAAUACUAUAUGUACAAAUAAUUAAAAAAAAUAAUUGUAAGGAUAAUUAUCAGCUUUGGCUAGAAGAGCCACACUAAUGUCGGGAUUCAAUCCCAUGGUGCUUUGUCAACAACGCACCAUUUAAACCUUUCCGAUUGAACCAACAUGCAGCGAGGAAUGUGGUCUCCCCGACAGGUGCGGACUUUGCCUAUGAAUGACGUUAAUGGCGUUGUUGACGAAGCGCAGUCAGAUUGAAUCGGGGACUAACAGUGAUCUGGUUUAGUACAGGUGGACUUUAAUUAAAGGGGCAAUGCAGGAUUCAAAAGAACAACAAAGUGUUCUCCGUUAUCAUCCAAUCCCAGAUCAGGAUUAUUUAUUUAUUAGUUAUCAUUCGCUAAGAAGUCAAAAAACAGAUGUGGUCCGACCAAUCCCAGAUCAGGAUUAUUUACAUACAUAGUUUGUGAGGCACUAAUAUGGAUUUACAUAUUCCAUUACCAGGCACUUUUUAUCCACAUCAACUUUCAGUCAGUCAGUCAUUUUUACAUAUGGGGAGGCCCCAGGAAUCAAACCCACAAUCCUGGUGUUGUAAAUGCUCUACCAACUGAACCACAGAGGACAGGCUCUACCAACUGAGUCCACAGAGGACAGGUUCUACCAGCUGAGUCACAGAGGACAGGUUCUACCAACUGAACCACAGAGGACAGGUUCUACCAACUGAGCGACAGAGGACAGGCUCUACCAACUGAGCCACAGAGGACAGGCUCUACCAACUGAGUUACAGAGGACAGGUUCUACCAACUGAGCCACAGAGGACAGGUUCUACCAACUGAGUCACAGAGGACAGGUUCUACCAACUGAGCCACAGAGGACAGGUUCUACCAACUGAGUCACAGAGGACAGGUUAUACCAACUGAACCCACAGAGGACAGGUUCUACCAACUGAGCGACAGAGGACAGGCUCUACCAACUGAACCACAGAGGACAGGUUCUACCAACUGAGUCACAGAUGACAGGUUCUACCAACUGAGUUACAGAGGACAGGCUCUACCAACUGAGCCACAGAGGACAGGUUCUACCAACUGAGUUACAGAGGACAGGUUCUACCAACUGAGUCCACAGAGGACAGGUUCUACCAUAGAACUACAUUUUUAGAUAUGCUAAUAUCUCCUCUCACUUUUUCUUUCCCUCCCUCCAACUGUCUCCCCCUCUUUUUCUCUCCCUCUCUCCCACACCUCUCUCGGUCUCUUUCUCUCCCACUAUCCUCCCCUUUCUCUCUCCCUCUCUCCCACACCUCUCUCAGUCUCUUUCUCUCCCACUAUCCCCCCCUCUCUCCCCUCUCCCUCUCUCCCACACCUCUCUCGGUCUCUUUC
Long non-coding RNA from Oncorhynchus tshawytscha (Chinook salmon), 1688 nucleotides. The record is from Ensembl. NCBI's taxonomy places the organism in Eukaryota, Metazoa, Chordata, Actinopteri, Salmoniformes, Salmonidae.